Molecule: ribosomal RNA, 500 nt
Filed under: uncultured Actinomycetes bacterium
Lineage: Bacteria; Bacillati; Actinomycetota; Actinomycetes
Description: bacterial SSU rRNA
Rfam family: Bacterial small subunit ribosomal RNA
Source: RNAcentral
AGAGUUUGAUUAUGGCUCAGGACGAACGCUGGCGGCACGCUUAACACAUGCAAGUCGAACGUGAAGCUCCGAGCUUGCUCGGGGUGGAAAGUGGCGAACGGGUGAGUAACACGUGAGAAACCUGCCCCGAAGACCGGGAUAACGCCGGGAAACCGGUGCUAAUACCGGAUGUCCUCACCGGACCGCAUGAUCCGGCGAGGAAAUGGAUUCCGCUUCGGGAUGGUCUCGCGGCCUAUCAGCUUGUUGGUGGGGUAAUGGCCCACCAAGGCAUCGACGGGUAGCUGGUCUGAGAGGAUGAUCAGCCACACUGGGACUGAGACACGGCCCAGACUCCUACGGGAGGCAGCAGUGGGGAAUCUUGCACAAUGGGCGAAAGCCUGAUGCAGCAACGCCGCGUGCGGGAUGAAGGCCCUAGGGUUGUAAACCGCUUUCAGCAGGGAAGAAGAUGACGGUACCUGUAGAAGAAGGUGCGGCCAACUACGUGUCAGCCGCCGCGGUAA